RNAcentral lists this ribosomal RNA (253 nucleotides) under uncultured bacterium. Its description in RNAcentral is "partial 16S ribosomal RNA". It matches the Rfam family "Bacterial small subunit ribosomal RNA", at positions 524 to 776 of the family's 1533-position model. The record is from RNAcentral.
UACGUAGGACGCAAGCGUUAUCCGGAAUUACUGGGCGUAAAGAGUUCGUAGGCGUUUUGGAAAGUCCGGUGUUAAAUCUUUGGGCUUAACCCAAAGUCUGUACUGGAAACUAUCAAAAUAGAGGGGCGCAGGGGCUAGCGGAAUGCCGUGUGUAGGGGUAAAAUCCGUAGAUACACGGUGGAACACCAAAAGCGAAGGCAGCUAGCUGGGCGCAUCCUGACGCUGAGGAACGAAAGCGUGGGUAGCGAACGGG